This 300-nucleotide long non-coding RNA is filed under the name Olea europaea subsp. europaea. Lineage: Eukaryota; Viridiplantae; Streptophyta; Magnoliopsida; Lamiales; Oleaceae. The record is from RNAcentral.
CAAGAACAGCGUUCCAAGGAAGCAAAAAAUGCAGAGGUGAAGCCAUUGAUGAGCCACAUAGCCACCCCAUCGAGUUUUGUUGUGCACCCUUGGGAGCCAUGGUCCGACGAGGACCGGACCCUCGGCCCCAUGGAAUUCCCUCUCGAAUUGAAGUUGCAGAAGGUAGUGGAGGUGGUUGCUGCCAUGAAUUGAAGAUGGAGAUUCAAGUGUGUGUGUUAAUUAGGGUGGUGAGGGAGGAGAAUCCGUGGGAUGGGUAAUUUAUGGUGUUUGAUAGCUUUAAGAAAAGUAGGACUAUUUGUG